RNAcentral lists this ribosomal RNA (426 nucleotides) under Stevenia atramentaria. RNAcentral describes it as "partial 16S ribosomal RNA". The record is from RNAcentral. Lineage: Eukaryota; Metazoa; Arthropoda; Insecta; Diptera; Rhinophoridae.
UUUAAAUGGCCGCAGUAUAUUAACUGUGCAAAGGUAGCAUAAUCAUUAGUCUUUUAAUUGAAGGCUGGUAUGAAUGGUUGGACGAAAUAUUAACUGUUUCAUAAAAAUUUAUAAUAAAAUUUUAUUUUUUAGUUAAAAAGCUAAAAUUUAUUUAAAAGACGAGAAGACCCUAUAAAUCUUUAUAUAAUUAUUUAUUAUAAUUUUUUAGAUUUAUUUUGUUAUAAUUAAUAAUUAUAUUUUAUUGGGGUGAUAUUAAAAUUUAAUAAACUUUUAAUUAAAAAAAUCAUUAAUUUAUGAAUAGUUGAUCCGUUAUUAACGAUUAAAAAAUUAAGUUACUUUAGGGAUAACAGCGUAAUUUUUUUGGAGAGUUCUUAUCAAUAAAAAAGAUUGCGACCUCGAUGUUGGAUUAAGAUAUAAUUUUAGGUG